Pipra filicauda (Wire-tailed manakin) is the source of this 6243-nucleotide long non-coding RNA. RefSeq lists it as uncharacterized. Lineage: Eukaryota; Metazoa; Chordata; Aves; Passeriformes; Pipridae. The transcript has 11 exons. The record is from RefSeq and is a predicted model, not a curated record.
CCUGUAGCUGGGCUGUAAAUCCCAUGCUAGUAUUUUCCAUGAAGAAGGGAAGUGCGCCAAUCCACAAAAAAAACACCAAGCAAAAAGAAAACAUUUUGUGUGUUUUGUAAAAUCCGCAAGAGAGGCAAUUAAUAUUCCCGUUGUAUGACUUUAUUUUUUUGUCUCUCCCUUUUGUCUCCAGUGCCCUUCCCUGGCUCAGCGCCCGGUGCCAACAGAACACCUUGCAGGAUCCUCAGCAGCGCAGACAACACUCCAAGAUGCCGGCCUCGGCUUGGAACGGAGCGGUGUCAUGGCGGAGACGACGGCCUUUGUCUCGCAGGGUGUGAAAGCAUCCGUUGUGCUGGCUCCACUGCGGCAGAAUGACGUCUAAAGGGGGGAAAAAGUGCUGGAAGUCCGAGUUGUGCGGUGCUGGUGGGGGAGCCCCGUCCCCACGGUGUGCGUCCGAGGAAGGGCUUGCGGCAGAGGAACCUGGGUACGGACGCCAGCCGCCUGGCACGGCUCUGCCUCGCGCGGGUGCAGGGGGGCAGGGAAGAGCUCGCAGCAAAACCAGCCACUGCAGAGGGAUGAAUGGACGGCCGUCGACUGUUGGAGUGUGGCUGGGGCAGCUGAUGCUCCUGCCUCAUCCUCCGGACAUGUCACCACUGAAUUUUGCUAUAAACAAUCAACAUGACCCCUCCCCUCGCCUCUCCCACCCACCCUCCUUUCAGGACGAGUGCUGUCGAAGUUUCAGCAGGGAAGCUGUCCCCCCCAAAGUCCCAUCAGAGUCCGGCAAUGUCUCACACCACAGGACUGCCCAGCCCGAGCACCCUGCAUGACGACGUGGGGCGUCGGAGGGCCCCCGGCCCUCAUGGGCUCAUCCCGCCUGCCAGGGCUCAGUUCCCCUUAUCGGCUCCAACGUGUCGCUUGGGAUGAAGCAUCACAACCACGGGAAAGUUAGUUUGUUGUAAUUACGAGAGAAAUAACCCAUGUGGGGGCUUUGUUUUUUCGCUCUCCCUCGCCCCAGUGUGCUGCUGGUGAGGGUGACGGUGUGGCGGGAGGAGGCGCAGCGACGCUGGGAACUUGCUGCUUUCACCUUCCCGUGCUUUCAUUUUAUUUCGUUUUUUAAAAGCAUGAAGCAAGUGAAGCGACGAGAGGAAUCCAUUAUGCAAAUCAGGUCACAUUUGCAUAAUGUCUCAUGACUGGAAUAUGCAAAUGAGUUGUAUAAUUUAUGAGUGCCAGUGUCUGUCUAAAAGUGUUUCCCAGAAUUUAUAAAAACUGCAGCGUGGGGAGGCAGCUGCCGGCUGCCCUGCCAGGAGGGUCCACGCUUGCUUUGCAAAGUCUGCCUGAGCCCAGCAGCCCAAACACUCAGGAAUAAGAACUGAUGCCCCUUCCCACCCUGUCCUCUUGCUUUAUUUUCUGUUUCUCCCUCUGCAAAGUCCCCACCUGCUCCCCUCAAACUUCUCUGAGGGUGUGAGGCUGGGGCGUGGGGCUGGACGGCCAGGCAGUCCCGCAGGUGGCUCAGCCAGGGCUCGCUCAGGUCCCUCAGGGCUCUCCACAGCUGCAGAGCCCCUGCGCCGUUCAGGUAAGUGAGCUCAUGGGCACGGUGCAUCGGAGAGCUGCCUCCAGCCUCUGCCUCUACUGACCCGCACGGUGGGAUUCCUGCUGGUUUGCCACGUGCCAGGUCCAGCCCCUGCUUGGAUCCGAGCUCCAUGACCUUGGGGAGAGCUACGAGGUCAGCGCAGGGCUGGCAUUGCCAACGGAGGGACCCUGAGUGUCGUCCCCAGUGCCGCAGUGCUCGGCGUCAGCACUGGAAAGGUCUCUGGAAUAUCUGGACAUGCAGGACAGGUAUCAAGACUUUGUCUUUUUUUUCCUUCUUCCCUGCAUGUCUGGUGAUCUGGGGAGCAUCAGGAGGAUGCAGGUGGGCUCUUGGACCUGGGGAUGCCACUGCCCCGAGCUGCCUGCAUGGGGAGAGGGUAAAUAAUAAUGCACUGGCCCGUGGAAAGUUGUGUGGGUCAUAGCCUGCCCACUCUGGGCAGCAUCCAGCGAGGAGCAGCGGGAUGGGAGAGCCCAGGAGUCGGGGCAGCUCAGCAUUGGCCUUCCUCAGCUCUGGGAGGUCCCUGAAAGGGCUUUUGGGCAAGAAAGUGUGAUUUGCUGUUCUUGAGAGUCUGCAUUUCAAUUGUAAAACCCAGAUGUGUUUAUCUCAUUGGUUCCAAAUCAGUUUUGGUGCUAGCUACCUCUAAAGUGACAAAUCUCACACUUUUCAUCAGUUUCAAAACACUGUGUCUGUGCGUUUGGUUUGUUUAGUGCACGCAGCUCCAGGCUGUGACAGUGAGAGUCUUGCUGAGUGCCUCCAGGACAAAGAAGUGAGUUCAUAGACUGUGCUUUUACCGGUGACUGGGGAGUUCUGUUGCGGGAAUAUGAAGAGACCCUCUGCAUCAGGUUUGGUGCCUGCCCCCUCGCUGCAGGGUGACCGUCCCCCCAGCACCAAGGAGUCACUCUCCCUGUACUGGUCCUUGCAGGCACAGAGAAGUAGCUGAGUCUGAUCUGGAGACAGUGCAGGACCAGGGCCACUGGGAACAACCGGUGUUUCCUGCUGGAGACCAGUGUUCUCCUGUGGUUCCUCACCGGUGGCAUUGGAAGAAUUCCCUGCAGCUCUGUCCUUGGGACUUCCUGGGGCCUUUGCCUGCAGGACUUACUCUCUGUCUCUUGAUGAGGGCAUGUAGUGCAGGCUGCCAGCCAUCGCGUUACAGAUUUAGAAGUGCUGGAAUCUCUCCGUCUGUAGCAGGCUGCCUGAUGGAUUGCAUCCAGCAUCCCUGUGGUGCUCAUGGGAGCUGCACAGAUCCAUUGCUCCUGAAAACCAGACCCUGUGCCUGUCACUUCAGAGUGUGCCCAGUGACCUGUGUUUCAUGUGUCAUCACCUGAUAGGCCAGUGGGAGAUGAGGAUGCUGCAGUGAGAAGAGAUGAGUGGUGGGAGGAACAUGUCUGCACCCUUCACACAGCGAGUCGGGACAUGGGGAUGUCGGGCAGGGAAGCCAAAGGGCAAAAAGCGUUUAAUUUCCCCAGCAUGAAGAUAAUGCCAUGAGUCCCAGCUCUGUGGAGGAAACUGCUUGGCAGGACUGCUCAAGAGCCUCUUCCCCAGUAUGGAUUCCUUCAGGUUCUUAAUUCCUCUGUGUCUCCCAGCUUUAGCUCAUUCUUCCUCUUUGGCUUACUAUUUUUCCUUUUGACCACUUUUCUAUGCUCUAAGGUCAAGGGUUUUCCGUAUGGAAAGAAGUUUAGCCCCUCCUAGCCUUUCUUGUGCCAUUUGCCCACCUGGCAUCACAUGCCCCAUACUAAGCCUGGCAGUGCUUGGGCAUGCAGGCACUACCAAUAGCAAGGAUGUUCUCCUUUGAUUCCCACCCAAAAGAAGAGCACAUUUCCCAUCUCCUCAGGCUGAUGCUCGGACUGGACAACCUCCUCUCCCUUCACAUGCUUGCACACAGGACAAGAGAGGGCUGUGCACCCCACGCUCCCACUGCCAUGUUCCCAUCCUGGUGCUGCCAUUCUGCAGCUGGAGCCAAGCAUGGCAGAGACAAUGUGCUGGAGCAUUCUGUCUGAGGGGAGUUCGGGGAGGGGAGAGGGAAAAAGGCUGUUAGAUCUAUCGCUGGCAAUUUAGAUUCAGAGACAUUUCAUCUGCAGUUCCCUCAAGUGUUGAAUUGAAUAAAACCAGCAGCAGCGGUGGAAAAGAAGGUGGGGGAAGGGCUUCGAGCACUCUCAGCUAAACAAAAAGAGACAGGCAGCUCAUAAAAAAGGAAUUGCAUCCUUGGGCUGAAAAUCUGGAUUCACAGGGCAGAAGGGGAGGGCGCGUGGCAGAGCCCAUCUGUGGCCAGGGGCCAGGCAGUGCUGCCAAGGGCUUCUGGUGCUCCCACAGCAAGAGCAGAUCACAGGGCUUACUUCUGGGUUUCCUGAUUUUCUGUGGAUUUUUGAAGCUCCCGUUGUAGAAUCAAGCAGGAAGAACAGAGUCCCAGGCUUCGGUUGCAAUUUAAAAAAAACCCAAUACUUCACUUUCCAGUGCUUCAGGAGAAAAGCACAAAAGUGAAACCCUCAAGGGUCAAAAAUUCAGAAGAACAAGUAACUUAGCACUUAUAAUUUUGUAAACAGUUGCUGUUGAGGGCCAAACUCAUCAUUCUCAAACACAGCUGUGGGAUGGCAGAACUGUCCUCACCAUUAGAUGUUUCUGUUCCUCUGCCUUUGAGGGAAUUGUUGCUGGUGGCUGUUCUGGCUAUGCACUGCAGCAUUGGAUUCCUCUGGGUUUGUCCCAUUCCCUGGGUGUCAGGCAGUCUGAUACCCCUCCAUGAGCAGAGGCAGGUGCCUUGGUGCAGUGGAGUCUCUGCCUUCCCUGAGUUGGACAUGUCUGGUUGCUGCAGCUGGAUGCUCAAGAGCAGAGGAUCUAUCAACUGCAGACCAAGCAGAGGGAGAGGCAGGCAGAACUGGAGCAGAAAUGCAGCCGGACGAGCAGCUCAGCCAGGACCUGGGGGCCAGCCACCAGCUGCGGGAGGGAGCUCGGAGCAGCUUGUUCCAGAAGAUGGUGCAAUUUGGUGAUUGAUUCCUGGAGUCUGGCUGGUGCAUCUGCACUGGGGUAUAGAAGGCACAGACCCUGCCGUGAUGCCCAGAACACUCUGCCAGUGCCAGCCACCCACAGCUCACAGCUCCAGAAGCAGAAGCGGAGCAUUCCAUCAAUGUGAGUGGAUAUUUUUCUCCCAUUAAAAUGUUUAAUUUAUUUUUGAAUGCACAUGAACUUUGAGGGCCCACCAUACCCUGUGUGAAGCAGUCUGACACAGCACAUGACAUUAAAAAAAGAACUCUUUUUUGUUUUGUGAUUAUUACCUGCUAAUUUAUGGGGUGCUGCUGGUUCUUAUAUUGAAGGGACAAAGAGAAAUCAUACUGCAGACAAGUUCUAUUUGCCGAACUUGAUACUAUAAUUGUCUUCAGUCAUUUCUUUUCCAGUCUAAAAAGACUAUUCACCUUUUCCUCACAUGGAAAAUACUCUUUGCAUUUGAUCAUCCUUGUUGCUCUUCUCUGAAACUCUUCCAACUCUUUUUCUAGAGAGAGGCAGACAAAGCUACAUAUGGAAAUCACAGCGCACUUCCACCAUGGAUCUCUUCAGUGGCAGAACUGUGAUCUGCUCUGCAUUAUUUUUCUGAUAAUUGUUAACAGGCAGUUUGCCUUUUAGGCUGCUCCUGGGCACUAAGCAAAUAUUUCCACACCUCUAUCUCUCCAUCCCCAUCUGGUUGUAUCUAGCACAGCUCCAGGCCCUCACUCCCGAGGAGGAACAGAGCUACAGCAGCUGGGACUGCAAUGAGAUCUUGUGAGCAAGAUGGUGCAAACAUCCCAGAUCCUGAGUAAGAUUAGGCCUACCUGGCUGUGUCAUACCUUGGAGACUGGUAUAGUCUGAUAAACAUUGAAAAAAGAAGAAAUAAUGAUACAUGGUCAGCCUCACCACACUGCAGACCGGGACUCUUCCAGGCAGGUCUACCCUCAAGUAUCUGCCCACCUGAGGGGCUGAGUAACCCUGUGGGGAGAGCUCAGGAGCCAGCUUUUCACCAGAGCCAGGCAGAAUAGCCAGGAAGGGCCCACAUUUGCCCUGCACUUGGACAUGGAGCCUCCUUAGGCAAAAUGCCUGUGCCUGUGGAGUCUUUUCCCUCCAAGACCUCACCUUCACCAUCACAUGGAGCACUAAGGUCAUUGUGGUACAGGCACAGGAGCACCAGUGGCCCAGGGACACAGGGACAACCCAAGUGGCCCAGGGACAGGCAGCCCACGUGGGGCAGGGGUGAAGAGCAGCUAGCCCCAUCACCCAGGCGUUAUGGGACCUCUCACAGCCCAUCACAGGCAUGGCUCCGCAGGGAACACUGCUGGAGCCAGAUGGAUCAGCACUGGCAUGAAGUCCUACCCAAGAGCACAAAUAACAUCAUGUUCUUGUGGUUCUCCUUUGCACUUCCUUCCUGCAGAUUCCCAGGAUGAGUAGGAAUGGAUUGGGCAGCCUGAUCUCCUGCAUCUGCAGCCAAGGAAAUUUCACCGUGUUACUGGGGAAUUCAGAAGUUGUCUGACUAAGACAGUUUCAGAUGGGCAUUCAGCUGGGCUUGAAGACAUCAAGAGAGCAAAAGCAUUACGUCCUCCCUUGGCAGUCAGUCCCUUCGCAUCACUCCUACUGAUUUUUUUUCUCUGAUUACUGCUGUGCCAACAGGGCUAAUGAAGCUUUCUGUGCAGCAGCAGUAUAGGUCUCAA